Syzygium oleosum is the source of this 1796-nucleotide long non-coding RNA. RefSeq lists it as uncharacterized. NCBI's taxonomy places the organism in Eukaryota, Viridiplantae, Streptophyta, Magnoliopsida, Myrtales, Myrtaceae. The record is from RefSeq and is a predicted model, not a curated record. The transcript has 2 exons.
CUCCGCGUUCUUUCUCAUCGACGCGACGGCCCACCCACCUUCGCUCAGCCGGCGUCCCUCGCCGUCGCCAAUCAUCGAGUCGCUUGUGCGGUGGCAGAGCGCCGUGGCGGCGAGGCAACCUGAACCGGGUCCGCGCCGUCCCUGCUCGCCUGAACCAUCCGCGGACGCUCUGGCGAUCCAUCACCGCGUUCACUUCUUCGAGGCUCCUCUCCGACGCCGCUUCUCGGCCUCUUCCCGCGGCCGCGACCGGCGACUCUCCUCCUGCUUCCACCUCGCCCGGGUCCUCGAUCCUCCGGAAGCUCCGGGAAGUCCGAGUAUGACGCGAAGAGUUCGUCGUCCAUUCGCUCGUCUCUGAAGGAUCCCGAGCUGGUCAAGUUGUCCGCCAUCGCCGAUACACGGUCAGUUCGUUGAUCGUUAAUUCGUAUCUUUCGUAAAUGGCGAUUUUCCCGAUUCAGCACGCUUGCUUUCCUUCACUUGAAUCCGACAUUGUGUUCUUGAGCUGAGCAAUGUGGAAUAGAUUUCGGGAAUGUUGAGCGUGAUCCUCUGCUGCUAUCGGCAACUUGUUUGCAUGGUCAAGUUUUAUUGCUUCAAGUGGUUUAAUCACGGGAUGUCUGCAUGCCUGAUGAUGGGGAUGAGGUUUCAAGUUCACCACGCUCGGUUGAAUUCAAUCGCUUGAGACCAAACCUCCGGCAAAACUGCAGUUUCUGCAAUCAUUAUAGUCGAUAGACAUCUAGGAUGCAAAAAAUUCGCUUGUAUAGCGUGGCUUCCAUCUGAUGCAUUGAACUCUUCUCUUCUUUUGUCAAUGGCUCUUGUUAUUCUGAUUGUUCUUGUUUGGAUAUCAUUGUUUUUCUUCUGGCUGAGAUUGUUUGGAUAUAAUUGUUGUUCGCUGUGAAGCCUGCGAUACUUUUACUUGAUAAUUAAGUACUAGGUCGAUGCUGCAAGUCCUUUUAGGAGGGUUUUCCUGGUUGACAUUUGAAUCACUGGGUAAGAUGAUCCCAUAACAUUUGUUGUGUUGGCAUAAUUAAGUAUAGUUCAUUACAGAUUUUUUUUUCCUGAUGAACAUAUGGACUUGAGUGAUCCAAGUGUAAUGUCUUCGUUGACUGAAGCGACAUUUGCUCAAGAUCAUGAUCAAUUUUCGAGUCUUAUCUGGAUGUUUGUAACAUUCUUUAUCAGCAAAGGAUUCGCAAUUCAUAUCGAUAUCAAAAUCAUCUAUUCAUUUUUCAGUUGGAUCAUGUCCCUCUGAUGGGAGAACUCCAUUUCUCUGUCAAGUUUUUAACUCGUCCACUGCUUGAUAAGACUCCCCUCAUGGUUAUCGUUUUUGUCCAUGUAAAGACCAAAAUGUUCAAAUAUUUGAUCUAAGAAUGCCUAGCUGGAACUUUCAGAGGAUAACAUCACAACUGGUGAUUAUAUUGCCAUCAAUCCUAAAUGUACCACACAUACUCUUGCAAGUCCUGGGGUCAGCAAAAUAUCAAUACUGUGAUGCGUAUAAUUCUCUUCCGUUCUCUUUUUGGAUCAGAUUCUUGUGUUUUUCAAUGUUCUCCUAUCUUGCAGCUUAAGGUCUUUGGAUCACUAUCCUUGGGGCUACAGUAUCCGUUUAGCAGGAUUAUGUAUCAUUUUAAAUAAGAGUCUGAUGAUUUACAUGUGGAGCAUAUGAUUCCAGAACUCCAAAAGUGACGGUGCAGAGAACACAGGGCUAAAUGUAGGUGUAGUUUCGUGUCUUUGGCUCACAUGCAGUUGCAUCACAAUGACAUGAUAGCUUGCUCACUUCUCAUGUAAUAAGGGUGCAAGGUAAUAAA